UCCCUAUAGCUCUGAUGGUAAAGAAUCUGCCUGCAGUGCAGAAGACCCAGGUUCAAUGCCUGGAUCAGGAU
Molecule: non-coding RNA, 71 nt
Organism: Bos taurus (domestic cattle)
Lineage: Eukaryota; Metazoa; Chordata; Mammalia; Artiodactyla; Bovidae
Source: Rfam